GUAGGUGGCAAGCGUUGUCCGGAAUUAUUGGGCGUAAAGCGCGCGCAGGUGGUUCUUUAAGUCUGAUGUGAAAGCCCCCGGCUCAACCGGGGAGGGUCAUUGGAAACUGGGGAACUUGAGUGCAGGAGAGGAAAGUGGAAUUCCACGUGUAGCGGUGAAAUGCGUAGAUAUGUGGAGGAACACCAGUGGCGAAGGCGACUUUCUGGCCUGUAACUGACACUGAGGCGCGAAAGCGUGGGGAGCAAACAGGGAUUAGAUACCCUGGUAGUCCACGCCGUAAACGAUGAGUGCUAAGUGUUGGGGGGGUUUCCCGCCCCCCCGUCAGUGCUGCAGCUAACGCAUUAAGCACUCCGCCUGGGGAGUACGGCCGCAAGACUG
RNAcentral lists this ribosomal RNA (378 nucleotides) under uncultured organism. RNAcentral describes it as "partial 16S ribosomal RNA". It matches the Rfam family "Bacterial small subunit ribosomal RNA", at positions 527 to 896 of the family's 1533-position model. The record is from RNAcentral.